This 2836-nucleotide ribosomal RNA is filed under the name bioreactor sludge metagenome. RNAcentral's name for it is "bacterial LSU rRNA". It matches the Rfam family "Bacterial large subunit ribosomal RNA". The record is from RNAcentral.
UUUGAUCCGGGAAUAUCCGAAUGGGGCAACCCCUUCGACGUUAGUCGAAGAGUUUCCAAUCUUCUACUUGGCUAUUAAUAAGUAGGACGCGGUCUUAACAAAAUAAGAAGACAAGCGUUUAAAGUAUCUUGCGAUGUUAAUAGUCAGAUGGAAAAUUGGGAACUGGGAACCUGUCGAACUGAAACAUCUUAGUAGACAGAGGAAAAGAAAUCAAAUAGAGAUUCCGUAAGUAGCGGCGAGCGAACGCGGAAAAGCCUUAAUUAUUUACAGAUUUAUAUAAUUAGUUGAAUGUCCCUGGAAAGGGCGACCAUAGAGGGUGAUAGUCCUGUAAACGAAAAUUAUAUAAAUUUAUGAAAAUAGUUCGUUCCGACGUUUCGUCGGAAUAGAAAGUAGGUCUAGACACGUGAAAUCUAGACUGAAGAAUCUUGUCUUCGGACGAGAGUAGGUGGAUCAUCAUCUAAGGCUAAAUACUUUUUAUGACCGAUAGUGAACUAGUACCGUGAGGGAAAGGUGAAAAGUACCCCGUAGCGGGGAGUGAAAUAGUACCUGAAACCAUAUACUUACAAGGAGUCAGAGACGUUUGUCAUUUAUGAUAGACGUUCAUGGCGUGCCUUUUGAAGAAUGAGCCAACGAGUUAAUGCUUGUAGUUUGCCGAAGUACUUCUGGUACGAAGGCCAAGCGAAAGCGAGUAGUAAAUCUGCGUUUAUUGCAAGUAUUAGACCCGAAACCGGGUGAUCUAUCCAUGAUCAGGAUGAACCUUACCUAACAGUAAGGGGAGGUCCGAACCCACGUCAGUUACAAAUGGCGGGGAUGAAUUGUGGAUAGGGGAGAAAUUCCAAUCGAACCCGGAGAUAGCUGGUUCUCCUCGAAAUAUAUUUUGGUAUAGCCUCAUGCGCAACCCUGGGGGUAGAGCACUGAAUGGAACGUACAGGAGUAAUCCUGUGCUUCUUAUCAAACUUCGAAUACCAGGCGUUAGGCAUUGGGAGUCAGUCCGUGAGGGCUAAGCUUCAUUGGACAAAAGGGAAACAACCCAGACCGUCAUCUAAGGUCCCUAAAUUGUAGCUAAGUGGGAAAGGAAGUGUUUAAGCUCAGACAACUAGGAGGUUGGCUUAGAAGCAGCCAUCCUUUAAAGAAAGCGUAACAGCUCACUAGUCAAGGUUGAAUGCGCCGAAAAUUUAACGGGGCUAAAGCUACAUACCGAAGAUACGGGAAUCGUGCAUGGCAUAGAGUUUUUAAUAUUUUUAAAGACUGUGUGCUGUGUGCGGUUCGGUAGAGGAGCGUUCUAAAUGCGCUGAAGCCAAAGAUGUAAAUCAUGGUGGAGCGUUUAGAAGUGAGAAUGUUGGCACAAGUACACGAAUUAGGCAGACGAGAAAUCUGCCCACCAAAAAUCCAAGGUUUCCCGGGCAACGAUAAUCGGCCCGGGGUUAGUCGGUCCUAACCUAUUUUAAUGGGGAUGGCCAGCAGGUUGAUAUUCCUGCACUUUCAAAAACUUACCUUUAUCCGACUCUUUUUCAAGCUUGAUAGCUCAUAUGGUUAUGGUCUAUUGGGGGCGAAAGAGACAAGAAAAAGAUAAAGUCAAUUAUUUUUGGAAACCGUACCGCAAACCGACGCAGGUGGAUGGGGUGAGAAUCCUAAGGUGAUCGAGCGAACCCUCGUUAAGGAACUCGGCAAAAAAGCGUCCGUAACUUCGGGAUAAGGGCUGCCCACAACUCGCAAGAGUGGGUGGGCCGCAGCAAACGUUUUUCAGGCGACUGUUUACCAAAAACACAGGUCUCUGCAAACCCAUCGUGGGGAAGUAUAGGGGCUGACGCCUGUCCAGUGCUAGAAGGUUAUGGGAAUAGUUGAUUUUAUCUUCGGAUAAAUGAGGCUUGAACUUAAGCCCUAGUGAACGACAGCGAUAACUAUAAUCGUUCUAAGGUAGCGAAAUUCCUUGUCGGGUAAGUUCCGACCCGCAUCAAUGGCGUAACGGUCUGAAAACUGUCUCAACGAGGGCCUCGGUGAAAAUACACUACCGGUAAAGAUGCCGGUUACCCGCAGCUAGACGAAAAGACCCCGUGAAGCUUUACUAUACCCUGAUAUUGAGUUUAUAUUAUGAAUGUAUAGAAUAAGUGGGAGCUAAGGCAACAAUGUAAUACCACUCUUUUGUAAUGUGAAUUCUAACCCCGCAAUAUGUGGGGGAAAGUGUCAGGCGGGUAGUUUAACUGGGGCGGUUGACUCUAAAACAGUAACGGAGUCGUACAAAGGUAUCCUAGCUUCGUUUGGAAAUCGAAGUGAUAGUGCAAACGCAUAAGGAUGCUUAACUGCAAGACCUACAAGUCGAGCAGGGACGAAAGUCGGUGUUAGUGAUCCGGUCCGCUUGAAUGACAGACGGACCGCUCAACGGAUAAAAGCUACUCCGGGGAUAACAGGCUCGUCUUCCCCAAUAGUUCACAUAGACGGGAAGGUUCGGCACCUCGAUGUCGGCUCAUCCUAUCCUGGGACUGAAGCAGGCCCCAAGGGUUUGGCUGUUCGCCAAUUAAAAGGGUACGCGAGCUGGGUUCAGAACGUCGUGAGACAGUUCGGUCUUAAUCUGCUGUGGGCGUUAGAAUAUUGAGAGGGGUUCUUCCUAGUACGAGAGGACCGGAAGGAACAAACCUCUGGUAUACCAGUUGUACGAUUCUCGUGCAGUGCUGGGUCGCCAAGUUUGGUGUGGAUAAGCGCUGAAAGCAUCUAAGCGCGAAGCCAGCCUCAAGAUUAAUAUUCAUAGAUCCCCGAAAGACUAUCGGGUUGAUAGGCUUCAGGUGUAAGUUCCGCAAGGAAUUCAGCCGUGAAGUACUAAUAGAUCAUUGAUGGUUGA